GAUGAACGCUAGCGGCAGGCCGUAACACGAUGCAAGUCGAGGGGCAGCACAGGUAGCAAUACUGGGUGGCGACCGGCGGGAUGGGUGCGUAACGCGUAUGCAACCUACCAUUGGAUUGGGGCAUAGCCCGAAGAAAUUCGGAUUAAUACUCCAUAAUAUUCAUCAAAGGCAUCUUUUAUGAAUUAAAGCUUUUGCGAUCAAUGAUGGGCAUGCGUGACAUUAGUUAGUUGGUGAGGUAACGGCUCACCAAAACGAUGAUGUCUAGGGGUUCUGAGAGGAUUAUCCCCCACACUGGUACUGAGACACGGACCAGACUCCUACGGGAGGCAGCAGUGAGGAAUAUUGGUCAAUGGACGCAAGUCUGAACCAGCCAUGCCGCGUGCAGGAUGACGGCCCUAUGGGUUGUAAACUGCUUUUCCACGGGAAGAACCCUCCGACGUGUCGGAGACUGACGGUACCGUGGGAAUAAGCAUCGGCUAACUCCGUG
RNAcentral lists this ribosomal RNA (487 nucleotides) under uncultured bacterium. Its description in RNAcentral is "bacterial SSU rRNA". It matches the Rfam family "Bacterial small subunit ribosomal RNA", at positions 28 to 507 of the family's 1533-position model. The record is from RNAcentral.